GAGUGGUUAGCUCAGCUGGUAGAGCGUCGCCCUUAAAAAGGCGAAUGUCGGGAGUUCGAUCCUCUCACCACCCAACA
This is a transfer RNA of 77 nucleotides. It matches the Rfam family "tRNA". Rfam says of the family: Transfer RNA (tRNA) molecules are approximately 80 nucleotides in length.